Molecule: transfer RNA, 77 nt
Filed under: Pseudomonadota bacterium
Lineage: Bacteria; Pseudomonadati; Pseudomonadota
Description: Proteobacteria bacterium (freshwater metagenome) tRNA-Cys
Rfam family: tRNA
About the family: Transfer RNA (tRNA) molecules are approximately 80 nucleotides in length. Their secondary structure includes four short double-helical elements and three loops (D, anti-codon, and T loops).
Source: RNAcentral
GGCCGGAUGGUGAAGUGGCUUAACACAGCGGUUUGCAAAACCGCCAUUCGUCGGUUCAAAUCCGACUCCGGCCUCCA